CAGCAGCCACGGGAAUACGAAGGGUGCAAGCGUUACUCGGAAUUACUGGCGUAAAGCGUGCGUAGGUGGUGGUUUAAGUCCGUUGUGAAAGCCCUGGGCUCAACCUGGGAAUUGCAGUGGAUACUGGGUCACUAGAGUGUGGUAGAGGAUAGUGGAAUUUCCGGUGUAGCAGUGAAAUGCGUAGAGAUCGGAAGGAACAUCUGUGGCGAAGGCGACUAUCUGGGCCAACACUGACACUGAGGCACGAAAGCGUGGGGAGCAAACAGGAUUAGAUACCCCUGUAGUCCCUGUCUCUUAUACA
RNAcentral lists this ribosomal RNA (301 nucleotides) under uncultured bacterium. RNAcentral's name for it is "partial 16S ribosomal RNA". It matches the Rfam family "Bacterial small subunit ribosomal RNA", at positions 509 to 808 of the family's 1533-position model. The record is from RNAcentral.